GUCAUGCCUGUUUACAACUGGCUGACUGUAAAAUUAUCUAAUCACAUAUUUACUGUGUAUUUAUAUACAUAUUCAGUUUGUCGAAUCAGGAACCUAACUUACAAUUUUGAGAGAGUGAGCCAGCAGUGGGGUGUUAUUAUGUACCUGCAGCUGUGAUUUGAAGGCUAUGUGCAGGUUGUCAUCUCUUCCCCUCGGCAGAGCUCUGAGGAAAGAAGAGUUCAUCAAGAGAAAUAUCCUGCUCCAGUGGAGCACAGCAACCCCUGUCAAACACACACACACACACACAGGGGUGCUUAUGUAAAUUGGUAAGUUUCGGAGUCAGGGUGGGAUUCCGACAUCGCUGUGUGGGGAGACACCGAUGAAAUCCUCACGCUUUUUUUGCCCAGUGUGUCUUGAGACUGAGAGAGCACAGGAGAACAAAUGAUCAGCAUACACUUUCUGACCAAGUCACCCGUACUUACACUGCACAUGACUUUAUCAGAUUAUGACAUAACUUGGUAAUUUAACUGAUUUUUAUAUGUGCUGGGCUGAAUCCUUUUUUUGAAACAAAUAUCUGUUGCUGUUAGUGAAAGGAAAGGGCAACUUAAAUUGUCACAGUAUUACUGUAUUAUUGAUCAAGUGAUGUUAUUUCUGAAGUUAAGGCACACACUUGUUAUUUCAUAUUUGUGUCUUUCCAGGUGAGCUCGGCGCAGUCUAAUGGCAACAUUACGAGUUCAACACCCUCUCGUAAACUACACCCACCUGCGCCAAAGGUCCGCAAGAGUGGGAUCCAUGAGGCCAUGAAAGCCAUCGGCCUCUGCCACAAUGGUAAACCAGUGUACGAAUCCCGUGUUAACGGUGCCAGCGCGGAGCCAGAGAGUACAGAGGCCGACCAGGACUUCAGUGACGACAACCGCACUUACCAGACUCCAAUCCUGAUGAGAGACCUGACGUCCCUCAAGCUGAAGACCCCAGUCGGACACAUCUUGACCUAUUACAUCCUCCAGAUCCUUCCCUUCACCUCUGAGAGCAAGCACAUGGGCAUUAAUGUCAGGAUGUGUAUCCAACUACAAGUGUGCAAGUGUGUUUGAGGAGGCUCCCGGCGACAUCACGUUUUACAUGAAAGGGGCUGAUGUUACCAUGUGAGCAUUGUACAGUACAAUGAUUGGCCGGAGGACGAGUGUGGGAACAUGGCCAGAGAGGGCCUCGGACACUGGUGGACACUAAGAAACAGACUGAACAGUGAUAAACCAGCUGUAUUUCCACCCUCAAGUCAUUAUAAUCAGGUGAAGUUGAGUGCACACGAUCGCACCCUGAAGGUGGUGGCAGUGGUGGAGAGUCUGGAGAGAGAGAUGGAGCUUCUGUGUCUCAGUGGAGUGGAAGAUCAGCUGCAGGCUGAUGUCCGGCCCACACUGGAGCUCCUCCACAAUGCUGGGAUCAAGAUCUGGACGUUGACCGGAGACAAGCUGGAAACAUCUAUCGCCAAAAGUUCCCGAUAAGUUUCUAAAAAUCAAGACAUCCACGUUUUCAGAACCUAGUUCUGAUCCUGAUGAUUUGGAUUUUUAAGUGAAGUGGAUUUAGUGUGAACGCUCUAUGGGGUUUUUGUGACAGGUGUCCAACAGGGCCGAGGCUCAUCUGGAGCUGAACUCCUUCAGAAGGAAACACAACUGUGUGCUGGUCAUAUCAGGGGACUCUCUGGAGGUCUGAGCUACUGUGUGAAUGAAUUUGAGCUGGCGUGUCUGUGCCCUGCUGUGGCUUGCUGUCGCUGCUCUCCCACGCAGAAAGCUCAGAUCGUUCGAUUGUUACAGCAACAUACAGCCAACGGAACAUGUGCCAUAGGCGAUGGAGGAAAUGAUGUCAGCAUGAUCCAAGCGGCAGACUGUGGUAUCGGUAUUGAAGGGAAGGGGGCGUCCUGAUGGAUGUGCACGUGGUGGCGAUCUCCUCCACUGCUCUGAUGCUGACGGAGCUGCUGAUGGUGGCGCUGAUGGUCCGCACCUGGCACUGGCUCAUGGUCGUAGCCCAACUUAUCAGUCUUGGCUGCUACCUCGCUCCCCUCCCCUCGCCUGCCUGAAUGAAUAGUUUGAUCUUUCGUUUAUCACGACACGGAUGUUCUUGCGGAAGGUGUGUGUCAUCACGCUGGUCAGCUGUUUGACGCUCUACAUCAUCAAAUAUCUGAAGCCGAAAUGCUCCACAGAGGAGUUAUUCCAAACUCUCCUCCUAACUUUCCAUAUGGUCACAUGGUGUCAAAAGGCAAGUGCACGUGACUUUGAAACUUUGAAAUUCAUCUAUUGCUUUUUUUUUUAUGCUGAAUGUUAGUUCACCAAAAAAUGAACACGCUAACAUCAUUUACUCACCUCAUAUUUUUUUUUUUAAACCUUUAUGGCUUAGGGUCUUUUUUGGGAAACCCAAAAGGAGAAGUUUAGCCAAAUGUUCAUGCUGCUCCUUUCCAUACAAUGGUGAGCAUAGGGCUGUCACUUUUCAAAAUUGCAACAUCUUAAAGUCUACUUUUGUGUUUGAAAUUCCUACCUUUAAAUUGACAUAAAGGUGAGUAGAUAAUGACCAAACAUUAAUUUUUGAGUCAGACCAUCACUUUAAGCAUCGAAUACAAAUGCCUGAAAGUGCUUUUAUGAUGCUGUUUACCUGUGCUUCAUAAAUGCAUUUUUCAGUGACAUAAUGUGAUUUGUGCGUGUAUAUUUAUUGACUUCUCAUCAUGUUUCUGCACUUAAAGAUGUUGGCACAGUUCUAGGAUGAAACGGUGAGUAGUAUUGAGUUCUUGAAGAGGAUUAAGCACAAAAAAGAGAUCAAGAUAGAAAUAAAAGAAAAGCCAAAGGGUUUGAGGCACCCACACCUGUCACUUUUCACUUACCGUAAAUGCAUACAGAGGAAAAAAAAUCAGCAUUACAUAUUUUUAUUGAAUAGAUUAUGGAUUUUUAUAGCUUUUUUAUUUAUAAAUGUUAUUAUUGGUUGUAUGUAAUGAUGUUAAUAGUUUCAUGAUAAAGUAUCAGCUAUAAUGAACCUUUCAUCAUUAGUAUUAUCACACCUAUUAGCACUAUUUUUCAUCUCAUUUUGGCACAUUCUGUAUUAUUGACUUUAUUAAUGAGAUCUGGGUGGCCGUAAUAAAUGAAAGAUUUUUUAUAAGAUCAUGAAAAACUGCAAACAAAAAGCAGUUGGAUAUCCUAACUUUGUCCCUUGAUGAAGUUGGCUCAGUAAUGUGUAAGAUCAUCUUGCCUUAUCUUUAUCAAGUCAACUGGUAUGAGGAAUGAGUUUUAUCAUUCUCUUUAUUUUCCAUACUGAGUGUGUGAGAGAGUGUGUGUGUGUGUGUGUGUGUGUGUGUGUGUGUGUGUGUGUUUACAAUACUGAAAGAGAUGAUGUCAAGCACAUGCGCUGUUUCUUUCUUGCUGUGUGUUAUGAUGGUUCUCCAGUCUGCUUUGAAGAUGUUGAGUUGUACUGCACUCAGGAAAUCCACUGAUUUAUUUUACUGGAUAUAAACCUUAAACUAACCCUGUGACAGGCCCAACACCAAUAGCUUAUUUAAUAUUUGUUUGAGUAUUUGAGUACCAGUUUGAGUGAGUAUAAGGUUUUCUCUCUUAAAUAUUUAUAAUGCAGCACUGUUUAACUUACCUGGCAAUUAUUUGUAUGCAUUGCUUCUAACCACUAGAGAGCGGCAUUUACACAGUAUUUACUGUCACAGAAGACAAAUAUUGGACCCAUAUGGUAACUACAUGUGUUGACAAGAUUUCUGUUCAAUGAGGCUUUCAGGACUGUGA
Molecule: RNA transcript, 3746 nt
Organism: Carassius auratus (goldfish)
Lineage: Eukaryota; Metazoa; Chordata; Actinopteri; Cypriniformes; Cyprinidae
Gene name: probable phospholipid-transporting ATPase IIB
Exons: 10
Source: RefSeq, a predicted model, not a curated record